RNAcentral lists this ribosomal RNA (780 nucleotides) under uncultured Neocallimastigales. RNAcentral describes it as "partial large subunit ribosomal RNA". It matches the Rfam family "Eukaryotic large subunit ribosomal RNA", at positions 24 to 623 of the family's 3401-position model. The record is from RNAcentral. Lineage: Eukaryota; Fungi; Neocallimastigomycota; Neocallimastigomycetes; Neocallimastigales.
UACGACUACAUAUCAGGCAUAUCAAUAAGCGGAGGAAAAGAAACUAACUAGGAUUCCCUUAGUAACGGCGAGUGAAGCGGGAAGAGCUCAAAUUUGAAAUCUUCAAGGUUCUACCUUGACGAAUUGUAGUUUAAAGAAGUGUUUUCUGUUGGAGUUUUGGUAAAAGUUCUUUGGAAUAGGACAUCAUAGAGGGUGAGAAUCCCGUAUUUGACCAUUAUUUCCAACUUUGUGAUACACAUUCAAAGAGUCGGAUUGUUUGGGAAUGCAGUCCAAAAUGGGUGGUAAAUUUCAUCUAAAGCCUAAAUAUUGGCGAGAGACCGAUAGCGAACAAGUACCGUGAGGGAAAGAUGAAAAGAACUUUGAAAAGAGAGUUAAACAGGUACGUGAAAUUGUCAAAAGGGAAGCGUUUGACACCAGUGUUGUUUUCUCGAAAAUCAAUUAAAAAUGCUUGGAUUUUGUGUUGUAUUGACCUUUAUAAGCUUUCUGCACUCUUUUCUUGUCUUUUUUAAUGCACUUUUCGUUUAACAAGUCAACAUCAAUUUCUUUUGCUGUAAAAGAGUCAUUGGAAGGUGGCUUUCCUUUCGGAUGAAAGUGUUUAUAGCCUUGUGCUUCUGCAAUCGGAGAGAUUGAGGUCUGCAGCGUAGAUCCUUCGGGGUUAGAUACAUUAGAUGCUAAGUUAUAGUUUUUCAUAGACAACAUUGUUGACUAUGAUUAAUCAUGUAGCUUACUCGUUUGCGCUAUUUUACCUACGCUUAGGAUGUUGACGCGCGUGUGUGCGUG